Molecule: long non-coding RNA, 441 nt
Organism: Solanum stenotomum
Lineage: Eukaryota; Viridiplantae; Streptophyta; Magnoliopsida; Solanales; Solanaceae
Exons: 2
Source: RefSeq, a predicted model, not a curated record
CUUGUAGAGAUAUGAAUAUUAUGACAUGUUGUUGAAUUGUUUUGUAGGGAGUUUGGAUGGGAAUGUUGAUUGGCACAUUUGUUCAAACUAUUGCACUAGUUAUGAUCACUUCCAAAACUGAUUGGGAUGAACAGGUAAGACUCACUCAACAACGAGUUAAAGGAUGGGCAAUAGAAGAUGACAAUAAUGUUACCUCACAAGGAGCUUAACACAACAAAUGGCCUAAAUUGCAAUAAUUUGUCAAAUUGUUUUAAUUAUUAUAAAUUAUCAAAUAUCAUUUCAGUAUUUAGCUCCCAUAUUUGAAAAGUUUGCUAGUUCGAUUGUUUUAUUUAAGUGCUUAUUUUUAAAUUUUUCUAAUAGUCGCUUGAAUAAAUAAUUAGCACUUAUUAGUUGAAUUUAGUCAUGAAUAGUAACCUCUUUAUUUUAUUUUACGAUUUCUAA